Molecule: transfer RNA, 79 nt
Filed under: Trichinella sp. T6
Lineage: Eukaryota; Metazoa; Nematoda; Enoplea; Trichinellida; Trichinellidae
Description: tRNA-Glu
Source: RNAcentral
UUUGCCACUCAUACAGAGCGUUUAUGGUAAGCAGUUCUGCUUAAGUUAAAGAGUCCUUCGAGGUAGUCAAAGUGGAUAC